Molecule: ribosomal RNA, 387 nt
Filed under: uncultured bacterium
Lineage: Bacteria
Description: bacterial SSU rRNA
Rfam family: Bacterial small subunit ribosomal RNA
Source: RNAcentral
AUUGAACGCUGGCGGCAUGCCUUACACAUGCAAGUCGAACGGCAGCACGGGGGCAACCCUGGUGGCGAGUGGCGAACGGGUGAGUAAUGCAUCGGAACGUGCCCAGUAGUGGGGGAUAACUAGUCGAAAGAUUAGCUAAUACCGCAUACGACCUAUGGGUGAAAGCGGGGGAUUCGCAAGAACCUCGCGCUAUCGGAGCGGCCGAUGUCUGAUUAGCUAGNGGCGGGGUAAAGCCCACCAAGGCUUCGAUCAGUAGCUGGUCUGAGAGGACGACCAGCCACACUGGGACUGAGACACGGCCCAGACUCCUACGGAGGCAGCAGUGGGAAUUUUGACAAUGGGCGCAAGCCUGAUCCAGCCAUGCCGCGUGCGGGAAGAAGGCCUCGG